AACCUGCCUCAUACAGGGGGAUAACAGUUAGAAAUGACUGCUAAAACCGCAUAAGCGCACAUUGUCGAGUGACAGAGUGUGAAAAACUCCGGUGGUAUGAGAUGGACCCGCGUCUGAUUAGCUAGUUGGUGAGGUAACGGCCCACCAAGGCGACGAUCAGUAGCCGGCCUGAGAGGGCGACCGGCCACAUUGGGACUGAGACACGGCCCAAACUCCUACGGGAGGCAGCAGUGGGGAAUAUUGCACAAUGGGGGAAACCCUGAUGCAGCGACGCCGCGUGAGUGAAGAAGUAUUUCGGUAUGUAAAGCUCUAUCAGCAGGGAAGAAGAAAGACGGUACCUGACUAAGAAGCCCCGGCUAACUACGUGCCAGCAGCCGCGGUAAUACGUAGGGGGCAAGCGUUAUCCGGAUUUACUGGGUGUAAAGGGAGCGUAGACGGCUGUGCAAGUCUGAAGUGAAAGCCCAGGGCUCAACCCUGGGACUGCUUUGGAAACUGUGGAGCUAGAGUGCUGGAGAGGUAAGUGGAAUUCCUAGUGUAGCGGUGAAAUGCGUAGAUAUUAGGAGGAACACCAGUGGCGAAGGCGGCUUACUGGACAGUAACUGACGUUGAGGCUCGAAAGCGUGGGGAGCAAACAGGAUUAGAUACCCUGGUAGUCCACGCGGUAAACGAUGAAUACUAGGUGU
Molecule: ribosomal RNA, 683 nt
Filed under: uncultured bacterium
Lineage: Bacteria
Description: bacterial SSU rRNA
Rfam family: Bacterial small subunit ribosomal RNA
Source: RNAcentral